Molecule: small nuclear RNA, 94 nt
Filed under: Jaculus jaculus (lesser Egyptian jerboa)
Lineage: Eukaryota; Metazoa; Chordata; Mammalia; Rodentia; Dipodidae
Source: RNAcentral
GUGCUUGCUUCAGCAGCACAUGUAGUAAAACUGGAAUGAUACAGAGAAGAAUAGCAUGGAUGACACACAUAUCUGUGAAGUGUUCCAUAUUUCU